CUACCUGCUGUUCUCACUGAAGAAGGAAGCUUGCACUAUCAUCUGGACCAUGUGUACACACUGAGGCAAUGCUCACACUCUCAGCAAAGUCCUUGGUUGCCUCUGGGACAGGAGACCUUCCAGGAGAAUCCAGAAGCCACAGCACAUCUGACACCAGCUGAAAAACAUCUGGAAUGGUUUCGAUAGGAGCAGAGCCAGCUGCCUUUUCAUAUCUCUCUGGAACUGGGAGAUAUUUAUCAGAUAGGAGAAAGUGUUUCCUAGCCUGGAAAUGCAGCUACUCCCAGUUUCUCCCAGUUCAGAUCAGGAGUUCACUGUGGA
RNAcentral lists this long non-coding RNA (318 nucleotides) under Lonchura striata (white-rumped munia). RNAcentral's name for it is "domestica (Bengalese finch) lncRNA (ENSLSDG00000010369.1)". The record is from RNAcentral. Lineage: Eukaryota; Metazoa; Chordata; Aves; Passeriformes; Estrildidae.